UACGUAGGGGGCGAGCGUUGUCCGGAUUUAUUGGGCGUAAAGAGCGUGUAGGCGGCCAGGUAGGUCUGCUGUGAAAACUCGAGGCUCAACCUCGAGACGUCGGCGGAAACCAUCUGGCUAGAGUCCGGAAGAGGAGAGUGGAAUUCCUGGUGUAGCGGUGAAAUGCGCAGAUAUCAGGAAGAACACCCGUGGCGAAGGCGGCUCUCUGGGACAGUACUGACGCUGAGACGCGAAAGCGUGGGUAGCAAACAGG
RNAcentral lists this ribosomal RNA (253 nucleotides) under uncultured bacterium. RNAcentral's name for it is "partial 16S ribosomal RNA". It matches the Rfam family "Bacterial small subunit ribosomal RNA", at positions 524 to 776 of the family's 1533-position model. The record is from RNAcentral.